AGUGAACGCUGGCGGUAGGCCUAACACAUGCAAGUCGAACGGCAGCACAGUAAGAGCUUGCUCUUACGGGUAGCGAGUGGCGGACGGGUGAGGAAUACAUCGGAAUCUACUUUUUCGUGGGGGAUAACGUAGGGAAACUUACGCUAAUACCGCAUACGACCUACGGGUGAAAGCAGCGGAUCUUCGGACCUUGCGCGAUUGAAUGAGCCGAUGUCGGAUUAGCUAGUUGGCGGGGUAAAGGCCCACCAAGGCGACGAUCCGUAGCUGGUCUGAGAGGAUGAUCAGCCACACUGGAACUGAGACACGGUCCAGACUCCUACGGGAGGCAGCAGUGGGGAAUAUUGGACAAUGGGCGCAAGCCUGAUCCAGCCAUACCGCGUGGGUGAAGAAGGCCUUCGGGUUGUAAAGCCCUUUUGUUGGGAAAGAAAAGCAGCAGGUUAAUACCCCGCUGUUCUGACGGUACCCAAAGAAUAAGCACCGGCUAACUUCGUG
Molecule: ribosomal RNA, 492 nt
Filed under: uncultured bacterium
Lineage: Bacteria
Description: partial 16S ribosomal RNA
Rfam family: Bacterial small subunit ribosomal RNA
Source: RNAcentral